GUGAAUCAUCGAAUUUUUGAGCGCAAAUUGCACUCUCCUCGGAGAGUAUGACUGUUUGAGGGUCAGACUCUAAAAAUAGACAUCGUUGCUGACUCCCGGUCACGUUUGUCGGAAACUGGGCCAUCUUACAUCUUUUGGUUUAAGCGACUUAAAAAUUUCUUUUUGAUUCCAUGAACGUUUCUAUGAUUUAUUUCUUUACACGUUUAAGGUAUCGAUUUAUUAGACGUGUCCGUCAUAUCGGAUCGCGUCCAUAAUCUUUCAUUAACUGCCUU
RNAcentral lists this unclassified non-coding RNA (272 nucleotides) under Glomus sp. RNAcentral's name for it is "partial contains 5.8S ribosomal RNA and internal transcribed spacer 2". The stretch from base 1 to 65 matches the Rfam family "5.8S ribosomal RNA", at positions 84 to 154 of the family's 154-position model. The record is from RNAcentral. Lineage: Eukaryota; Fungi; Glomeromycota; Glomeromycetes; Glomerales; Glomeraceae.